RNAcentral lists this small RNA (125 nucleotides) under Citrobacter freundii. RNAcentral's name for it is "StyR-44". It matches the Rfam family "Salmonella enterica Typhi npcRNA 44". Lineage: Bacteria; Pseudomonadati; Pseudomonadota; Gammaproteobacteria; Enterobacterales; Enterobacteriaceae. RNAcentral also lists the same sequence under 1 other name. The record is from RNAcentral.
CUUUAAAAAUCUGGAUCAAGCUGAAAAUUGAAACGACACACUGUUUCAUUUCUCCGUAAUAAGAAAUGAAAAAUGGUGUGUUCGAGUCUCUCAAAUUUUCGCAAUCAGAAGUGAAACAUCUUCGG